GCCGGGCGUGGUGGUGCGCGCCUGUAAUCCCAGCUACUCGGGAGGCUGAGGCAGGAGAAUUGCUUGAACCCAGGAGGUGGAGGUUGUGGUGAGCUGAGAUCCCACCACUGCACUCCAGCCGGGGCAACAGAGCAAGACUCUGUCUCAA
RNAcentral lists this non-coding RNA (148 nucleotides) under Pan troglodytes (chimpanzee). Lineage: Eukaryota; Metazoa; Chordata; Mammalia; Primates; Hominidae. The record is from Rfam by way of RNAcentral.